GAUGAACGCUGGCGGCGUGCCUAAUACAUGCAAGUCGAACGAAACUUCUUUAUCACCGAGUGCUUGCACACACCGAUAAAGAGUUGAGUGGCGAACGGGUGAGUAACACGUGGUCAACCUGCCCAAAAGAGGGGGAUAACACUUGGAAACAGGUGCUAAUACCGCAUAACCAUAGUUACCGCAUGGUAACUAUGUAAAAGGUGGCUAUACUACCGCUUUUGGAUGGGCCCGCGGCGCAUUAGCUAGUUGGUAGGGUAAAGGCUUACCAAGGCAAUGAUGCGUAGCCGAAGUGAGAGGUUGAUCGGCCACAUUGGGACUGAGACACGGCCCAGACUCCUACGGGAGGCAGCAGUAGGGAAUAUUCGACAAUGGGCGAAAGCCUGAUGGAGCAACGCCGCGUGGGUGAAGAAGGUCUUCGGAUCGUAAAGCCCUGUUGUUAGAGAAGAAAGUGCGUGAGAGUAACUGUUCACGUUUCGACGGUAUCUAACCAGAAAGCCACGGCUAACUACGUG
RNAcentral lists this ribosomal RNA (512 nucleotides) under uncultured bacterium. RNAcentral's name for it is "partial 16S ribosomal RNA". It matches the Rfam family "Bacterial small subunit ribosomal RNA", at positions 28 to 507 of the family's 1533-position model. The record is from RNAcentral.